This 601-nucleotide long non-coding RNA is filed under the name Gadus morhua (Atlantic cod). Its description in RNAcentral is "lncRNA (ENSGMOG00000025472.1)". Lineage: Eukaryota; Metazoa; Chordata; Actinopteri; Gadiformes; Gadidae. The record is from RNAcentral.
GCGCGUUUUUUGAAAAAGUAUUUUACUUGUGUUUUAAUGAUCAUAUCACAUUAAAAUAAUUAAAAACUAUUAUUGGCCCAUUCCUACAUUGUAGAAAAAAAGAAAUAAAGUUUAUUUGAGUGAGUUUGAGCGGUCGGCUUUCCGUAGACGACGGCCGGGGCGUAGUCUUGUCAUCAUCGUUGUCGUCAUCGUCGUCGAUUUUUACCAAACAAGCAAACAAGCGUUGGUUGAUAAGCUGCUCUCUCUUUACGGAUAUAUCUUGAGCAUUUUGAGAGCGUUUAAAAUGCAGUCCGGGGUCGCGGACCGACACGGGUCCCCCAGCAAGAGGACUCUUGCCCGGGGGAUGAGCGAGGACGAGUCCCUGCGCAUCAUCAUCUCGGAGACGGAGACCCCAUCCCGGCGGCUCGCCCGCAGCGACAGCCGAAGCGGAACUCUUAAGAGGAAGAGUGGAAGUCAGCAGUGUGAUCAGGACAUUUUCAAGACCCUGCCUGACGUGGGGCGGUCUGUUAUCAAGACUCAAGGAAGUGGAUAAAUCACAACAGCCUGUCCGCCCUGGCCCUGUCGAUGUUUCACUGAGAGAGAAGACGACUAAUGAUGGAGC